RNAcentral lists this ribosomal RNA (497 nucleotides) under uncultured bacterium. Its description in RNAcentral is "partial 16S ribosomal RNA". It matches the Rfam family "Bacterial small subunit ribosomal RNA", at positions 28 to 507 of the family's 1533-position model. The record is from RNAcentral.
GACGAACGCUGGCGGCGUGCCUAAUACAUGCAAGUUGAGCGCUGAAGGUUGGUACUUGUACCAACUGGAUGAGCAGCGAACGGGUGAGUAACGCGUGGGGAAUCUGCCUUUGAGCGGGGGACAACAUUUGGAAACGAAUGCUAAUACCGCAUAAAAACUUUAAACACAAGUUUUAAGUUUGAAAGAUGCAAUUGCAUCACUCAAAGAUGAUCCCGCGUUGUAUUAGCUAGUUGGUGAGGUAAAGGCUCACCAAGGCGAUGAUACAUAGCCGACCUGAGAGGGGGAUCGGCCACAUUGGGACCGAGACACGGCCCAAACUCCUACGGGAGGCAGCAGUAGGGAAUCUUCGGCAAUGGACGAAAGUCUGACCGAGCAACGCCGCGUGAGUGAAGAAGGUUUUCGGAUCGUAAAACUCUGUUGGUAGGGAAGAACGUUGGUGGGAGUGGAAAGCUCAUCAAGUGACGGUAACUACCCAGAAAGGGACGGCUAACUACGUG